AACGCUUCUUUCCUCCCGAGUGCUUGCACUCAAUUGGAAAGAGGAGUGGCGGACGGGUGAGUAACACGUGGGUAACCUACCCAUCAGAGGGGGAUAACACUUGGAAACAGGUGCUAAUACCGCAUAACAGUUUAUGCCGCAUGGCAUAAGAGUGAAAGGCGCUUUCGGGUGUCGCUGAUGGAUGGACCCGCGGUGCAUUAGCUAGUUGGUGAGGUAACGGCUCACCAAGGCCACGAUGCAUAGCCGACCUGAGAGGGUGAUCGGCCACACUGGGACUGAGACACGGCCCAGACUCCUACGGGAGGCAGCAGUAGGGAAUCUUCGGCAAUGGACGAAAGUCUGACCGAGCAACGCCGCGUGAGUGAAGAAGGUUUUCGGAUCGUAAAACUCUGUUGUUAGAGAAGAACAAGGACGUUAGUAACUGAACGUCCCCUGACGGUAUCUAACCAGAAAGCCACGGCUAACUACGUGCCAGCAGCCGCGGUAAUACGUAGGUGGCAAGCGUUGUCCGGAUUUAUUGGGCGUAAAGCGGGCGCAGGCGGUUUCUUAAGUCUGAUGUGAAAGCCCCCGGCUCAACCGGGGAGGGUCAUUGGAAACUGGGAGACUUGAGUGCAGAAGAGGAGAGUGGAAUUCCAUGUGUAGCGGUGAAAUGCGUAGAUAUAUGGAGGAACACCAGUGGCGAA
RNAcentral lists this ribosomal RNA (683 nucleotides) under uncultured Enterococcus sp. RNAcentral describes it as "bacterial SSU rRNA". It matches the Rfam family "Bacterial small subunit ribosomal RNA", at positions 65 to 719 of the family's 1533-position model. Lineage: Bacteria; Bacillati; Bacillota; Bacilli; Lactobacillales; Enterococcaceae. The record is from RNAcentral.